GAUGAAGAACGCAGCGAAAUGCGAUAAGUAAUGCGAAUUGCAGAAUUCAGUGAAUCAUCGAAUCUUUGAACGCACAUUGCGCCCCCUGGUAAUCCGGGGGGCAUGCCUGUUCGAGCGUCAUUUCACCACUCAAGCCUCGCUUGGUAUUGGGCAACGCGGUCCGCCGCGUGCCUCAAAUCGACCGGCUGGGUCUUCUGUCCCCUAAGCGUUGUGGAAACUAUUCGCUAAAGGGUGUUCGGGAGGCUACGCCGUAAAACAACCCCAUUUCUAAGGUUGACCUCGGAUCAGGUAGGGAUACCCGCUGAACUUAAGCAUAUCAAUAAGCGGAGGA
RNAcentral lists this unclassified non-coding RNA (331 nucleotides) under soil metagenome. Its description in RNAcentral is "partial contains 5.8S ribosomal RNA, internal transcribed spacer 2, and large subunit ribosomal RNA". The stretch from base 1 to 120 matches the Rfam family "5.8S ribosomal RNA", at positions 35 to 154 of the family's 154-position model. The record is from RNAcentral.